This 55-nucleotide non-coding RNA is filed under the name Pan troglodytes (chimpanzee). RNAcentral also lists the same sequence under 1 other name. Lineage: Eukaryota; Metazoa; Chordata; Mammalia; Primates; Hominidae. The record is from RNAcentral.
GGGGGCUGGGGCGCGGGGAGGUGCUAGGUCGGCCUCGGCUCCCGCGCCGCACCCC